GAUGAACGCUAGCGGCAGGCCUAACACAUGCAAGUCGAGGGAGAAGCCCUUUCGGGGGCAGACACCGGCGCACGGGUGCGUAACGCGUAUGCAACCUCCCUUUCACAGGGGGAUAGCCCGAAGAAAUUUGGAUUAAUACCCCAUAAUAUUAUUGGAUGGCAUCAUUUGAUAAUUAAAACUGCGGUGGUGAAAGAUGGGCAUGCGUCCUAUUAGCUAGUUGGAGUGGUAACGGCACCCCAAGGCUACGAUAGGUAGGGGUCCUGAGAGGGAGAUCCCCCACACUGGUACUGAGACAGGGACCAGACUCCUACGGGAGGCAGCAGUGAGUAAGAUUGGGCAAGGGUCGGAAGACUGAACCAGCCAUGCCGCGUGCAGGAAGAAUGCCUUAUGGGUUGUAAACUGCUUUUAUAUGGGAAGAAUAAGGCGUACGUGUACGUUGAUGACGGUACCAUAUGAAUAAGCAUCGGCUAACUCCGUG
This 478-nucleotide ribosomal RNA is filed under the name uncultured bacterium. RNAcentral's name for it is "partial 16S ribosomal RNA". It matches the Rfam family "Bacterial small subunit ribosomal RNA", at positions 28 to 507 of the family's 1533-position model. The record is from RNAcentral.